RNAcentral lists this ribosomal RNA (301 nucleotides) under uncultured bacterium. RNAcentral describes it as "partial 16S ribosomal RNA". It matches the Rfam family "Bacterial small subunit ribosomal RNA", at positions 509 to 807 of the family's 1533-position model. The record is from RNAcentral.
CAGUAGCCGCGGGAAUACGAAGGGGGCUAGCGUUGCUCGGAAUGACUGGGCGUAAAGGGCGCGUAGGCGGCUUGUACAGUCAGAUGUGAAAUUCCUGGGCUUAACCUGGGGGCUGCAUUUGAUACGUGCGGGCUAGAGUGUGAAAGAGGGUCGUGGAAUUCCCAGUGUAGAGGUGAAAUUCGUAGAUAUUGGGAAGAACACCGGUGGCGAAGGCGGCGACCUGGUUCAUGACUGACGCUGAGGCGCGAAAGCGUGGGGAGCAAACAGGAUUAGAUACCCCCGUAGUCCCUGUCUCUUAUAC